UGCUGGAGGUAUCAGAAGUGCGAAUGCUGACAUAAGUAACGAUAAAGCGGGUGAAAAGCCCGCUCGCCGGAAGACCAAGGGUUCCUGUCCAACGUUAAUCGGGGCAGGGUGAGUCGACCCCUAAGGCGAGGCCGAAAGGCGUAGUCGAUGGGAAACGGGUUAAUAUUCCCGUACUUGGUGUUACUGCGAAGGGGGGACGGAGAAGGCUAUGUUGGCCGGGCGACGGUUGUCCCGGUUUAAGCGUGUAGGUGUGUGUUCCAGGUAAAUCCGGUUCACUUUAACACUGAGGCGUGACGACGAGGCACUACGGUGCUGAAGCAACAAAUGCCCUGCUUCCAGGAAAAGCCUCUAAGCAUCAGGUAACAUCAAAUCGUACCCCAAACCGACACAGGUGGUCAGGUAGAGAAUACCAAGGCGCUUGAGAGAACUCGGGUGAAGGAACUAGGCAAAAUGGUGCCGUAACUUCGGGAGAAGGCACGCUGACACGUAGGUGAAGUGAUUUACUCAUGGAGCUGAAGUCAGUCGAAGAUACCAGCUGGCUGCAACUGUUUAUUAAAAACACAGCACUGUGCAAACACGAAAGUGGACGUAUACGGUGUGACGCCUGCCCGGUGCCGGAAGGUUAAUUGAUGGGGUCAGCGCAAGCGAAGCUCCUGAUCGAAGCCCCGGUAAACGGCGGCCGUAACUAUAACGGUCCUAAGGUAGCGAAAUUCCUUGUCGGGUAAGUUCCGACCUGCACGAAUGGCGUAAUGAUGGCCAGGCUGUCUCCACCCGAGACUCAGUGAAAUUGAACUCGCUGUGAAGAUGCAGUGUACCCGCGGCAAGACGGAAAGACCCCGUGAACCUUUACUAUAGCUUGACACUGAACAUUGAGCCUUGAUGUGUAGGAUAGGUGGGAGGCUUUGAAGCGUGGACGCCAGUCUGCGUGGAGCCGACCUUGAAAUACCACCCUUUAAUGUUUGAUGUUCUAACGUGGACCCGUGAUCCGGGUUGCGGACAGUGUCUGGUGGGUAGUUUGACUGGGGCGGUCUCCUCCUAAAGAGUAACGGAGGAGCACGAAGGUUGGCUAAUCCUGGUCGGACAUCAGGAGGUUAGUGCAAUGGCAUAAGCCAGCUUGACUGCGAGCGUGACGGCGCGAGCAGGUGCGAAAGCAGGUCAUAGUGAUCCGGUGGUUCUGAAUGGAAGGGCCAUCGCUCAACGGAUAAAAGGUACUCCGGGGAUAACAGGCUGAUACCGCCCAAGAGUUCAUAUCGACGGCGGUGUUUGGCACCUCGAUGUCGGCUCAUCACAUCCUGGGGCUGAAGUAGGUCCCAAGGGUAUGGCUGUUCGCCAUUUAAAGUGGUACGCGAGCUGGGUUUAGAACGUCGUGAGACAGUUCGGUCCCUAUCUGCCGUGGGCGCUGGAGAACUGAGGGGGGCUGCUCCUAGUACGAGAGGACCGGAGUGGACGCAUCACUGGUGUUCGGGUUGUCAUGCCAAUGGCACUGCCCGGUAGCUAAAUGCGGAAGAGAUAAGUGCUGAAAGCAUCUAAGCACGAAACUUGCCCCGAGAUGAGUUCUCCCUGAGACUUAGAGUCUCCUGAAGGAACGUUGAAGACGACGACGUUGAUAGGCCGGGUGUGUAAGCGCAGCGAUGCGUUGAGCUAACCGGUACUAAUGAACCGUGAGGCUUAACCUU
This 1676-nucleotide ribosomal RNA is filed under the name Salmonella enterica. RNAcentral describes it as "partial 23S ribosomal RNA". It matches the Rfam family "Bacterial large subunit ribosomal RNA", at positions 1271 to 2925 of the family's 2925-position model. RNAcentral also lists the same sequence under 5 other names. Lineage: Bacteria; Pseudomonadati; Pseudomonadota; Gammaproteobacteria; Enterobacterales; Enterobacteriaceae. The record is from RNAcentral.